CCUACGGGGGGCAGCAGUGAGGAAUAUUGGUCAAUGGACGAAAGUCUGAACCAGCCAUACCGCGUGCAGGAUGACGGCCCUAUGGGUUGUAAACUGCUUUUUUACAGGAAUAAUUGCAGAUACGUGUAUUUGUUUGAAGGUACUGUAGGAAUAAGGAUCGGCUAACUCCGUGCCAGCAGCCGCGGUAAUACGGAGGAUUCGAGCGUUAUCCGGAUUUAUUGGGUUUAAAGGGUCCGUAGGCGGGCCAAUAAGUCAGUGGUGAAGUCCCAGAGCUCAACUCUGGAACUGCCAUUGAUACUGUUGGUCUUGAAUUUAGUUGAGGUGGGCGGAAUACGUUAUGUAGCGGUGAAAUGCAUAGAUAUAACGUAGAACACCGAUUGCGAAGGCAGCUCACUAAACUAACAUUGACGCUGAUGGACGAAAGCGUGGGGAGCGAACAGGAUUAGAUACCCUGGUAGUCCACGCCGUAAACGAUGAUUACUCGUUGUGCACAAUACAUCGUGCGUGACUGAGCGAAAGCAUUAAGUAAUCCACCUGGGGAGUACGUUCGCAGGAUUGAAACUCAAAGGAAUUGACGGGGSCCCGCACAAGCGGAGGAACAUGUGGUUUAAUUCGAUGAUACGCGAGGAMCCUUACYUGGACUUAAAUGUAGAUUGACCCUCUUAGAAAUAGGAGUUCUCUUCGGAGCAAUUUACAAGGUGCUGCAUGGUUGUCGUCAGCUCGUGCCGUGAGGUGUCGGGUUAAGUCCCAUAACGAGCGCAACCCCUAUCGUUAGUUGCUAGCAGGUAAUGCUGAGGACUCUAGCGAGACUGCCACCGUAAGGUGAGAGGAAGGUGGGGAUGACGUCAAAUCAGCACGGCCCUUACGUCCAGGGCUACACACGUGUUACAAUGGCCGAUACAAAGGGCAGCUACCAGGUGACUGGAUGCUAAUCUCCAAAGUCGGUCUCAGUUCGGAUCGGAGUCUGCAACUCGACUCCGUGAAGUUGGAUUCGCUAGUAAUCGCAUAUCAGCAACGAUGCGGUGAAUACGUUCCCGGGCCUUGUACACACCGCCCGUC
This 1059-nucleotide ribosomal RNA is filed under the name uncultured bacterium. RNAcentral describes it as "bacterial SSU rRNA". It matches the Rfam family "Bacterial small subunit ribosomal RNA", at positions 338 to 1398 of the family's 1533-position model. The record is from RNAcentral.